Molecule: transfer RNA, 66 nt
Filed under: Hexacentrus japonicus
Lineage: Eukaryota; Metazoa; Arthropoda; Insecta; Orthoptera; Tettigoniidae
Description: tRNA-Tyr
Source: RNAcentral
GGUAAAAUGGCUGAGAUAUAGGCAAUAAACUGUAAAUUUAUUUAGGAGGGGAUUUCUCUUUUACCA